GUUUAAAUGAGGAAGGGCUUAGGGUGGAUACCUAGGCACCCAGAGACGAGCAAGGGUGUGGUAAGCGAUGAAAUGCUUCGGGGAGUUGAAAAUGAGCAUAGAUCCAGAGAUUCCCGAAUAGGUUAACCUUUUUAACUGUUGUUGAAUCCAUGGGUAGGUAAAAGACAACUUGGUGAACUGAAACAUCUUAGUAGCCAGAGGAAUAGAAAGAAAAAGUGAUUCCCAUAGUAGCGGCGAGCGAAAUGGGAGCAGCCUAAACCAUGAAAACGGGGUUGCGGGAGAGCACAAUAUAAGCUCUGUGCUGCUAGGUGAAGCGGUUGAGUCUUGCACCCUAGAUGGUGAGAGUCCAGUAGCCAAAAUCAUCAUUGGGUUACGCUCUAACCUGAGUAUCAUGGGGCACAUGGAAUCCCGUGUGAAUCAACAAGGACCAUGUUGCAAGGCUAAAUACUCCUGGGUGACCGAUAGUGAAGUAGUACCAUGAGCGAAAGGUGAAAAGAACCCCCAUCAGGGAGUGAAAUAGAACAUGAAACCGUAAGCUCCCAAGCAGUGGGAGGAAAAUGAUAUCUCUGACCGCGUGCCUGUUGAAGAAUG
Picea glauca (white spruce) is the source of this 591-nucleotide non-coding RNA. Lineage: Eukaryota; Viridiplantae; Streptophyta; Pinopsida; Pinales; Pinaceae. The record is from Rfam.